This 453-nucleotide long non-coding RNA is filed under the name Hordeum vulgare. Its description in RNAcentral is "long non-coding RNA (HVUL_LNC002992)". Lineage: Eukaryota; Viridiplantae; Streptophyta; Magnoliopsida; Poales; Poaceae. The record is from RNAcentral.
CGACCACCAACACCGAGAGAGCAACUCCGCGGAGGAACCGACUCACCAUUUUCGCUGUACCAAGUUACUGGAGUAGACUUGAAGCGUGGCGGUGAGGUGCAGAGCGUGUAGCACCGACACGGUGGAUAUAUAGUCCGAGCGGGCAGCGAGGCGCGGGAAGCUACACUACACGGCCAGCGCCCGUGCCGUGGCCAAUGGCGCGCCCGUGAGGAUCCUCCAUGGACGUAUUCGCGGAUGGCUAUGCUGGCCCGCCUGGACCUAGCACGACACUGCAGCGUGCGCCUGCGGCAGCUCGUGAUCUCACUCUGCGCUGCGGCCCCGGGCCAAUGGGCGCGGCCCACGCGCGCCAGGCGCGUUGAAUUCCGUGCGCGCCCACUGCCGACGAGGUCUGCGUCUUUGCCUGCUCGUCGCAGGGGAGGCUUGUCUGUGCAUGGCGGUGCCCACGGGGGCGAC